CCGUCGUGAGACAGGUUAG
This 19-nucleotide non-coding RNA is filed under the name Arabidopsis thaliana (thale cress). The record is from RNAcentral. RNAcentral also lists the same sequence under 2 other names. Lineage: Eukaryota; Viridiplantae; Streptophyta; Magnoliopsida; Brassicales; Brassicaceae.